Molecule: ribosomal RNA, 301 nt
Filed under: uncultured bacterium
Lineage: Bacteria
Description: partial 16S ribosomal RNA
Rfam family: Bacterial small subunit ribosomal RNA
Source: RNAcentral
CAGUAGCCACGGGAAAACGGAGGGGGCUAGCGUUGUUCGGAAUUACUGGGCGUAAAGCGCACGUAGGCGGCUUGGUAAGUUAGAGGUGAAAGCCCGGAGCUCAACUCCGGAAUUGCCUUUAAGACUGCCGAGCUAGUAGGUGAGAGAGGUAAGUGGAAUUCCGAGUGUAGAGGUGAAAUUCGUAGAUAUUCGGAAGAACACCGGUGGCGAAGGCGGCUUACUGGCUCGGUACUGACGCUGAGGUGCGAAAGCGUGGGGAGCAAACAGGAUUAGAUAUCCCAGUAGUCCCUGUCUCUUAUAC